UGGGGAAUUUUGGACAAUGGGCGCAAGCCUGAUCCAGCCAUGCCGCGUGCGGGAAGAAGGCCUUCGGGUUGUAAACCGCUUUUGUCAGGGAAGAAAUCUUCUGAGUUAAUACCUCGGGAGGAUGACGGUACCUGAAGAAUAAGCACCGGCUAACUACGUGCCAGCAGCCGCGGUAAUACGUAGGGUGCAAGCGUUAAUCGGAAUUACUGGGCGUAAAGCGUGCGCAGGCGGUUUUGUAAGACAGAGGUGAAAUCCCCGGGCUCAACCUGGGAACUGCCUUUGUGACUGCAAGGCUUGAGUGCGGCAGAGGGGGAUGGAAUUCCGCGUGUAGCAGUGAAAUUGCGUAGAUAUGCGGAGGAACACCGAUGGCGAAGGCAAUCCCCUGGGCCUGCACUGACGCUCAUGCACGAAAGCGUGGGGAGCAAACAGGAUUAGAUACCCUGGUAGUCCACGCCCUAAACGAUGUCAACUGGUUGUUGGGAAGGUUCCUUCUCAGUAACGUAGCUAACGCGUGAAGUUGACCGCCUGGGGAGUACGGCCGCAAGGUUGAAACUUAAAGGAAUUGACGGGGUCAUAGC
This 578-nucleotide ribosomal RNA is filed under the name uncultured bacterium. Its description in RNAcentral is "partial 16S ribosomal RNA". It matches the Rfam family "Bacterial small subunit ribosomal RNA", at positions 355 to 925 of the family's 1533-position model. The record is from RNAcentral.